GUCUCCUUGAAAGAUUUAAAUCCCAACAGCCCAGGGUGGGGACCACAUUGCAAGGAACUGUGGGCAGCCUCUUGAAGCUGAGAGCAGAAUUCAGCCAAUGGCAAGAAGCCAGGCACCUCAAUCCUGCAGCCACAAGGAAAUGAAUCCUGCUAGCAACCCGAGAAGGCUUAGAAAUGGAUCCUUCCCCAGUCGAGCCUCUGAUGAGACCAUAGUCCUGGUUGACACCAAAACUGUAACCUUGUAAGAAACCCUAAUGCAGGGGCCCCAGCUAAGCCAUGCUCAGAUUCCCAAUCCAUGGGAACUGUGAGAUAAUAAAUGUG
RNAcentral lists this long non-coding RNA (320 nucleotides) under Homo sapiens (human). RNAcentral describes it as "HSALNT0254959". Lineage: Eukaryota; Metazoa; Chordata; Mammalia; Primates; Hominidae. The record is from RNAcentral.